RNAcentral lists this long non-coding RNA (355 nucleotides) under Eucalyptus grandis. RNAcentral describes it as "long non-coding RNA (EGRA_LNC003413)". Lineage: Eukaryota; Viridiplantae; Streptophyta; Magnoliopsida; Myrtales; Myrtaceae. The record is from RNAcentral.
CGAAACAUCUCAACAUGCGGAUUUGUGACCAAUGACCAAUCGCGGUUUAGACCAGAGAAAUUAAACAUCCAAGUUGAGGUCUCGUCCGCCACAUACAAUGCUCAAAAGAGUAAAGUAACAUCACCCUAAUAUUGAAAUCUGAUGUUGAAACUUGGAAAUAAUCAUACCUGGAAUAACAGCAACGAGUAAUGCCGACGCACUACAACCAGUGAGGCGAGUGUCGGGAUUCGGCAAAUGAAGGUGGGAAACAAAAUGCUUGAUUUGGCCAGAAGCUUAAUGCUGUUCCAGGUGUAGCGGUGAGGCCGGUGAGAGCUUUGGAGUGGUUGUGGUCGCCAAAGGGAACCCAGCAAAGGUU